AGAAGCCAGGAGGAGUUAGGAACAGACUAUAAGAAAUGGUUGGUCUGGAGGAAAAAGGGUAAAACUUAUGAGGGCCCUUGUGAAUUGAUGAAUAUGAAGACACUAAGAAAGCAGAAAUAGAACUGAGAAGAAUGAAAUAACUGUCUCUACCUUUCUCGAAUUGUCUAAUAUGGAAAGAAUGAAAGACAGCUAAUAAGCAACUCUCUGCAAGAAGACAUAUGGCUUAGAAUCUACUUGGAGAGAGUCAAACACAGAAUCCCUUUGAAUUUAAUGGCCAUUCCAGGUGAUUUGAACAGCCAAAUAAGAAACAGGUCCUCUUCAAUGUACAAUCUGCCAAGUAUGAAGUCUGAAUGACCAUCAUUAUUAUGUAUUUAAUGUGCAUAGAAAAUCUAUCUGCAACCUUCCAGAGUGUACCAGAAGUUUGGAAUGUACAUUAUUAUUGGCUCCAUCUCAAACCACUCAUAAAUCAAAGAAAAUAGCAGUUCCAGAGGAAUCAUCAUAGAGGCUUCUAGGCCCCCAUGCUGUGUGAACCUGGUGAGAAAGGGAAGUCUGCUCUCACUGGACACUGGAACUGUUUGUCUCUGUCUCUGCUGUACUUUCCCUGCCUCUACCUCACUUAGUAAAGAAAUCAUCUUUGCUUGAUAACUAAAACAACCAAUAAGGCUGAGAAAGGGGAAAACCCACAUCUGGAUUUAAAUACAAGGUAUUGGGCCAGCUGCUGGGGAUUAAACUUUGAACAAAACAGAUAGAAUCUAUGUCCUCAUGGGAGUGGCUAAUGGGAGAGUCGGAACAAAAAAAUAGCCAAGGAUAAUCCAGCAAAUGAUUUGGUGAAUGCUAUCAAAGAGAGAAAUACACAUGCUCUGGGAACACCAAACAG
Molecule: long non-coding RNA, 877 nt
Filed under: Homo sapiens (human)
Lineage: Eukaryota; Metazoa; Chordata; Mammalia; Primates; Hominidae
Description: non-protein coding LINC02541:42
Source: RNAcentral